This 438-nucleotide ribosomal RNA is filed under the name uncultured bacterium. Its description in RNAcentral is "bacterial SSU rRNA". It matches the Rfam family "Bacterial small subunit ribosomal RNA", at positions 954 to 1392 of the family's 1533-position model. The record is from RNAcentral.
GCAAAACGCGAAGAACCUUACCAGGUCUUGACAUCCCUCUGACCGGUCCGUAACGGGACCUUUCCUUCGGGACAGAGGAGACAGGUGGUGCAUGGUUGUCGUCAGCUCGUGUCGUGAGAUGUUGGGUUAAGUCCCGCAACGAGCGCAACCCCUAUCCUUAGUAGCCAGCAGUUCGGCUGGGCACUCUAGGGAGACUGCCAGGGAUAACCUGGAGGAAGGCGGGGAUGACGUCAAAUCAUCAUGCCCCUUAUGAUCUGGGCUACACACGUGCUACAAUGGUGACUACAAAGGGAAGCAGCCUCGUGAGAGUGAGCAAAUCCCAAAAAGGUCAUCCCAGUUCGGAUUGUAGUCUGCAACUCGACUACAUGAAGCUGGAAUCGCUAGUAAUCGCGAAUCAGAAUGUCGCGGUGAAUACGUUCCCGGGUCUUGUACACACCG